GGAUGAACGCGGGCGGCGUGCCUAAUACAUGCAAGUCGAACGAGAUGCUUUUGUAGCAAUACGAGAGUAUUCUAGUGGCGAACGGGUGAGUAACGCGUUGGUGACCUACCCCAAAGUGUGGGAUAACAGUCCGAAAGGAUUGCUAAUACCGCAUGUGGUCUUCGGAUUUAGAAACCGAUGACUAAAGGAGCAAUUCGCUUUGGGAGGGACCUGCGUCCCAUCAGCUAGUUGGUGAGGUAAUGGCUCACCAAGGCGACGACGGGUAGGGGACCUGAGAGGGUGACCCCCCACAAUGGAACUGAAACACGGUCCAUACACCUACGGGUGGCAGCAGUAGGGAAUAUUGCUCAAUGGGCGAAAGCCUGAAGCAGCAACGCCGCGUGUGCGAUGAAGGCCUUCGGGUCGUAAAGCACUUUUCUGAGAGAUGAGAAAGGACAGUAUCUCAGGAAUAAGUCUCGGCUAACUACGUGCCAGCAGCCGCGGUAAAACGUAGGAGGCAAGCGUUAUCCGGAUUCACUGGGCGUAAAGCGCGUGCAGGCGGUGCGGUAAGUUGGGCGUGAAAUCUCCCGGCUCAACUGGGAGAGGUCGUCCAAUACUACCGUACUUGAGAGCAGAAGAGGAAAAUGGAAUUCCCGGUGUAGUGGUGAAAUGCGUAGAUAUCGGGAGGAACACCAGUGGCGAAGGCGAUUUUCUGGUCUGUUUCUGACGCUCAGACGCGACAGCUAGGGUAGUAAACGGGAUUAGAGACCCCGGUAAUCCUAGCCGUAAACGAUGUGAACUUGGCGUUGGUGGGUUAAACUCCAUCAGUGCCGCAGCAAACGCGAUAAGUUCACCGCCUGGGGACUACGGCCGCAAGGUUAAAACUCAAAG
Molecule: ribosomal RNA, 870 nt
Filed under: uncultured bacterium
Lineage: Bacteria
Description: bacterial SSU rRNA
Rfam family: Bacterial small subunit ribosomal RNA
Source: RNAcentral